RNAcentral lists this ribosomal RNA (425 nucleotides) under uncultured bacterium. RNAcentral's name for it is "partial 16S ribosomal RNA". It matches the Rfam family "Bacterial small subunit ribosomal RNA", at positions 354 to 796 of the family's 1533-position model. The record is from RNAcentral.
GUGGGGAAUAUUGGACAAUGGGCGAAAGCCUGAUCCAGCAAUGCCGCGUGAGUGAUGAAGGCCCUAGGGUUGUAAAGCUCUUUUACCCGGGAUGAUAAUGACAGUACCGGGAGAAUAAGCUCCGGCUAACUCCGUGCCAGCAGCCGCGGUAAUACGGAGGGAGCUAGCGUUGUUCGGAAUUACUGGGCGUAAAUCGCGCGUAGGCGGUUUUUUAAGUCAGAGGUGAAAGCCCGGGGCUCAACCCCGGAAUUGCCUUUGAAACUGGAAAACUUAAAUCUUGGAGAGGUAAGUGGAAUUCCGAGUGUAGAGGUGAAAUUCGUAGAUAUUCGGAAGAACACCAGUGGCGAAGGCGACUGACUAGACAAAUAUUGACGCUGGGGUGCGAAAGCGUGGGGCGCAAACAGGAUUAGAUACCCCUGUAGUCC